Molecule: ribosomal RNA, 551 nt
Filed under: uncultured Streptococcus sp.
Lineage: Bacteria; Bacillati; Bacillota; Bacilli; Lactobacillales; Streptococcaceae
Description: bacterial SSU rRNA
Rfam family: Bacterial small subunit ribosomal RNA
Source: RNAcentral
CGGCCGCGUCGACGUAACGCGUAGGUAACCUGCCUGGGUAGCGGGGGAUAACUAUUGGAAACGAUAGCUAAUACCGCAUAACAUUGACUAUUGCAUGAUAGUCAAUUGAAAGGUGCAAAUGCACCACUAUCAGAUGGACCUGCGUUGUAUUAGCUAGUUGGUGGGUAACGGCUCACCAAGGCGACGAUACAUAGCCGACCUGAGAGGGUGAUCGGCCACACUGGGACUGAGACACGGCCCAGACUCCUACGGGAGGCAGCAGUAGGGAAUCUUCGGCAAUGGACGGAAGUCUGACCGAGCAACGCCGCGUGAGUGAAGAAGGUUUUCGGAUCGUAAAGCUCUGUUGUAAGAGAAGAACGAGUGUGAGAGUGGAAAGUUCACACUGUGACGGUAUCUUACCAGAAAGGGACGGCUAACUACGUGCCAGCAGCCGCGGUAAUACGUAGGUCCCGAGCGUUGUCCGGUAUUAGUUGGGUCGUAAAGCGAGCGGCGAGGCGGUUAGAGUAAGUCGUAGUAAGUUAAAGGUCGUGUGGCGUUAACGAUAGUUACCG